RNAcentral lists this ribosomal RNA (140 nucleotides) under Nicotiana sylvestris (wood tobacco). RNAcentral describes it as "5.8S ribosomal RNA". It matches the Rfam family "5.8S ribosomal RNA". From Rfam's summary of the family: 5.8S ribosomal RNA (5.8S rRNA) is a component of the large subunit of the eukaryotic ribosome. It is transcribed by RNA polymerase I as part of the 45S precursor that also contains 18S and 28S rRNA. Lineage: Eukaryota; Viridiplantae; Streptophyta; Magnoliopsida; Solanales; Solanaceae. The record is from Rfam by way of RNAcentral.
AUUGGAAAUAAACGGAUAUUUUGACUCUCGCAUCAAUAAAAAACAUAACAAAAUGCAAUACUUCGUGUGAAUUGUGGAUUCAUAUGAAUCAUCAAGUCUUUAAAUGCAAGUUGCUCGAUCGAAGCCAUGUAUGCCUNAUA